CCAACUACGUGCCAGCAGCCGCGGUAAUACGUAGGGUGCGAGCGUUGUCCGGAAUUACUGGGCGUAAAGAGCUCGUAGGUGGUUUGUCGCGUUGUUCGUGAAAACUCACAGCUUAACUGUGGGCGUGCGGGCGAUACGGGCAGACUGGAGUACUGCAGGGGAGACUGGAAUUCCUGGUGUAGCGGUGGAAUGCGCAGAUAUCAGGAGGAACACCGGUGGCGAAGGCGGGUCUCUGGGCAGUAACUGACGCUGAGGAGCGAAAGCGUGGGGAGCGAACAGGAUUAGAUACCCUGGUAGUCCACGCCGUAAACGGUGGGUACUAGGUGUGGGUUUCCUUCCUUGGGAUCCGUGCCGUAGCUAACGCAUUAAGUACCCCGCCUGGGGAGUACGGCCGCAAGGCUAAAACUCAAAGGAAUUGACGGGGGCCCGCACAAGCGGCGGAGCAUGUGGAUUAAUUCGAUGCAACGCGAAGAACCUU
RNAcentral lists this ribosomal RNA (478 nucleotides) under Mycobacterium sp. 3B. RNAcentral describes it as "bacterial SSU rRNA". It matches the Rfam family "Bacterial small subunit ribosomal RNA", at positions 497 to 972 of the family's 1533-position model. Lineage: Bacteria; Bacillati; Actinomycetota; Actinomycetes; Mycobacteriales; Mycobacteriaceae. The record is from RNAcentral. RNAcentral also lists the same sequence under 1 other name.